UACGUAGGGGGCAAGCGUUGUCCGGAAUCAUUGGGCGUAAAGAGCGUGUAGGCGGUCCGAUAAGUCCGCUCUGAAAGCCCGGGGCUCAACCCCGGGAGGCGGGCGGAUACUGUCGGGCUAGAGUCCGGAAGAGGCAAGUGGAAUUCCUGGUGUAGCGGUGAAAUGCGCAGAUAUCAGGAGGAACACCGGUGGCGAAGGCGGGUCUCUGGGCCGAUACUGACGCUGAGGAGCGAAAGCGUGGGGAGCGAACAGG
Molecule: ribosomal RNA, 253 nt
Filed under: uncultured bacterium
Lineage: Bacteria
Description: partial 16S ribosomal RNA
Rfam family: Bacterial small subunit ribosomal RNA
Source: RNAcentral